Molecule: ribosomal RNA, 253 nt
Filed under: uncultured bacterium
Lineage: Bacteria
Description: partial 16S ribosomal RNA
Rfam family: Bacterial small subunit ribosomal RNA
Source: RNAcentral
UACGUAGGGGGCAAGCGUUGUCCGGAAUCAUUGGGCGUAAAGAGCGUGUAGGCGGCCUGGUAAGUCCGCUGUGAAAGUCCAGGGCUCAACCCUGGAAUGCCGGUGGAAACUGUCAGGCUCGAGUCCGGAAGAGGCGAGUGGAAUUCCUGGUGUAGCGGUGAAAUGCGCAGAUAUCAGGAGGAACACCAAUGGCGAAGGCAGCUCGCUGGGACGUUACUGACGCUGAGACGCGAAAGCGUGGGGAGCAAACAGG